Molecule: non-coding RNA, 242 nt
Filed under: Desulfobacteraceae bacterium
Lineage: Bacteria; Pseudomonadati; Thermodesulfobacteriota; Desulfobacteria; Desulfobacterales; Desulfobacteraceae
Source: RNAcentral
UGUUUUAAGAUAGCCUAAGGUGUUUUAUCGCUUAAUAGGGAACCCCGUGAAAAUCGGGGACGGGCCCGCCGCUGUAAUCGGGGACGAACGCCGCUUGAAACCACUGACGGAGAAAAUGCAAAGUGCAAAGUGCAAAGUUGAUUUUGCACUUUUAACUUUACAUUUUGCACUGUAUCUGUCGGGAAGGUCGGUCAGUAGGAUGAACCGAGAGUCAGAAGACCUGCCUGAACUUCAUAAAAAAA